This 539-nucleotide ribosomal RNA is filed under the name Talicada nyseus. RNAcentral's name for it is "partial 16S ribosomal RNA". It matches the Rfam family "Bacterial large subunit ribosomal RNA", at positions 1798 to 2608 of the family's 2925-position model. The record is from RNAcentral. Lineage: Eukaryota; Metazoa; Arthropoda; Insecta; Lepidoptera; Lycaenidae.
GCCUGUUUUACAAAAACAUGUCUUUUUGUAUUUAAUUUAAAGUCUAAUCUGCCCACUGAUUUUUAAUUAAAGGGCUGCAGUAAUUUGACUGUACAAAGGUAGCAUAAUCAUUAGUCUUUUAAUUGAAGACUUGUAUGAAAGAUUUGAUGAGAUAUAAACUGUCUCUUUAUUACAAUUAAAAUUUAAUUUUUUAGUUAAAAAGCUAAAAUAUUUUUAAAAGACGAGAAGACCCUAUAGAGUUUUAUAGUUUUUAUUAUAAAAUAUUUAUAUAAAAUUUUAAUGUUAUAUUAUAAAAAUUAUUUUGUUGGGGAGAUAAAAAAAUUAAAUAAACUUUUUUAAAUAUUUUCAUGAAUAAUUGAGUAAUUGAUCCAUAUUUAUUGAUUAAAAGAAAAAAUUACCUUAGGGAUAACAGCGUAAUAUUUUUUUUUAGUACAAAUAAGAAAAAAAGUUUGCGACCUCGAUGUUGGAUUAAGAUAAAAUUUAAAUGUAAAAGUUUAAAAUUUUGAUCUGUUCGAUCAUUAAAAUCUUACAUGAUCUGA